This 497-nucleotide ribosomal RNA is filed under the name uncultured bacterium. RNAcentral describes it as "partial 16S ribosomal RNA". It matches the Rfam family "Bacterial small subunit ribosomal RNA", at positions 28 to 507 of the family's 1533-position model. The record is from RNAcentral.
GAUGAACGCUGGCGGCGUGCCUAAUACAUGCAAGUCGAGCGAACAGACGAGGAGCUUGCUCCUCUGACGUUAGCGGCGGACGGGUGAGUAACACGUGGAUAACCUACCUAUAAGACUGGGAUAACUUCGGGAAACCGGAGCUAAUACCGGAUAAUAUAUUGAACCGCAUGGUUCAAUAGUGAAAGACGGUUUUGCUUUCACUUAUAGAUGGAUCCGCGCCGCAUUAGCUAGUUGGUAAGGUAACGGCUUACCAAGGCAACGAUGCGUAGCCGACCUGAGAGGGUGAUCGGCCACACGGGAACUGAGACACGGUCCAGACUCCUACGGGAGGCAGCAGUAGGGAAUCUUCCGCAAUGGGCGAAAGCCUGACGGAGCAACGCCGCGCGAGUGAUGAAGGUCUUCGGAUCGUAAAACUCUGUUAUUAGGGAAGAACAAAUGGGUAAGUAACUAUGCACGUCUUGACGGUACCUAAUCAGAAAGCCACGGCUAACUACGUG